Molecule: long non-coding RNA, 4324 nt
Organism: Dama dama (fallow deer)
Lineage: Eukaryota; Metazoa; Chordata; Mammalia; Artiodactyla; Cervidae
Exons: 4
Source: RefSeq, a predicted model, not a curated record
CGCGGAGCUGCGAUUAUGAGAGCGUUUACCCUGCAGCGGGCGGCUGUGGCUCGGCGCUUCUUACCGGCGUCUCUCUUGCCCGCUGGGCGCCCGCCCCGCACCGCCCGGGCCCCGCGCACCUGUAGACGCGAGGCCCAGAGUACCUCUGCCCCUUGUGCUUUUCCGGGCUUGGCAGAGGGGUUCCCGGCGGGGAUUCCUGGGGUCGCGCUGGUGAUACGCAGUGAAGAAAGAUGAACAGCUGCGUCUGGGCUCGCGGGGAGACGGGCUGCGAUCGUAGGGGUCGGCGGGGCGCAGCUGGGGAGCCCGGGCCGGCGAACCCGCGCGCGAUCUCCGCGGGGACUGCCGGCGCUUUGGGCCUUGGAUGGAAAUGGGGACGGGGCCUCCGGACCCUCUACCGUGGAUUACUUGGUGCAUCUCGGCCGGGCUUGAUGACCCACGACCUCGUCUCCAUCCGUGGAUUGGUGCGUUCUACCCAACAGUCGGGUCGCUUCCUGGGAGGUGAAAUCAGAGGCUUGUGGCUGACCUGAAGAGAUGCUUCAAGCCAAGAAAGCAGGACAAGAUAAAAGGCAAGCAGCACUUGAAAAUCAAGCAGGUGCAUGAAGUGGACAGGAAGAAUCCCGGGGAAGGGAAGGGCAGGAGCGGGGAGGCUCCAUGCCACUGAGUCUUCGCCUCUCAAAGACCCACAGGGUGUUCGCCUCCUCGGGUGUUCGCCUCCUCUGUAGAACAGCGGGCCCCGACUCGUUUUGGCGCCAGGGACCGGUUUCCUGGAAGACAGUUUCUCCACGGACCCAGGCCUGGAAGGCAGGACAGGUGGAGAACUCUUCCUCUCGCCCUCAGCCCCCACCAGGAACCUCAGUGUAACCAUGAAGACCCCACGGAGCUAUGAUGGGACCUUCUCUUAAGAGGCAAGCGCUCUGUAUUGGAAUGAGAAGUCUUAUUCUGGAGAAUGGACUUCCCUGGUUGCUCAGUUGGUAAAGAAUCUGCCUGCAACACAGGAGACCUGGGUUCAGUCCCUGGGUCAGGAAGAUCCCCUGGAGAAGGAAAUAGCUACCCACUCCAGAAUUCUCAUCCCAUGGACAGAGGAGCUUGGCAAGUUACAGGUCCAUGGGGCUGCAAAGAGUUGGAUGUGACUGAGUGACUAACACACACACACAUUCUGGAGGCUAAAGGAGCUUCUGGAUUUAAGAAGAUGUUUGAGGAGAAAGCAAAGAACCUCAGCCUGAGGAGUCCUAUCUGUGCUGACCUGCGUGGACAGGAGACCACUUCCAGCUGAAGGGGCCACCGUGAUCCUGGACCUUAUCACUCCUUCUGCUGGUGCCUGAUCUUCAGACUGCCCCCCACCAGUCCUUGGAAACCAGAGGAUUUUCUCCUGCAUUCUUUCAUGCUGCCCACUUCUCACGUCUGCUGUGCUUUCGGACUCUGCAGUUCUCUUUAACUCUAUCAUUUCUCAGCUGGAUACAGAGUGAAUAGUUCACUACACGUACGUCAACUGAUCUUACAUUUUGCUCCUUCUAAAAAGGCUGGUGUUUGCACAUUGGAGUACAAGCAGCCUUGGAAGAGCAUCCCUCCUCGUGGAUGUGGGGUCUGGUCCUGCAGGCUCCAGACUGAUGCAGGUCUGUGCAGAAAUCCUUCAGGCUCUAAAGAUGCUAGGACAUUGGAAGGGCUCUUGCAGGGAGCUGGAUCCUGAAGACUAGCGUUGCCCACGUUCCACUUUCUUGGUUCGGAUUGCACGCAGGUGCGCGUCUGGAGGAGCAGAACACAGACACGUCUUCUGUUGAUACAGAUGCGUGAUCAGCUCCCAGCGGGGCAGUUGGAGUCCACGUCAGAACACCGUGCUUCAUUACAGAUUAUCCAGCAGCCAGAGUUGAUGGGGUUUCUAGAGGACCCUCUCUUUCCAUUGUGUCUGGAUCACAGAUGGGGCCCCACAAAACCCAAGUCCUGUUGAUGAAGUGAACCUUUACUGUUGAGAACAAAACAGCUCCUGAUGAAACAAAAAUAAUACAGUCACUGGCAACAAUGGAAAAUAGACUAUGGGAUGUGUGUGUGUGUGUGUGUGUGUGUGUGUGUGUGAGUGACACAUUUGUAUAGAAUAAGAGCCAGGAAGAAAAUUUCUGCAUCUUAGCUAGACGGACUAAGAGCUAAAAACCUUUGGGAUGGCAUUGUCUGGAGAGUGAAGGAGUUGACUGGAACACUUCCUGAAAUUCCUUUGACCUCUCGGGUCCCUUAAAAUAUCAGGGGCGUGUAAAUUGGGCCGAAGUGUGUGCUUUCUGUCUGAAGUCUCCUGGAUAACCGUCAAGGUCAACUCAGAUGCUGUUGACUCGGAACUCCCCUCCCCCAAUUCCCUUCCCUUUCCAGACACUGGCUUUAUCUGGGAUAAGGCAGCGGAACUUGGUAGUGGUCGCGGGGGAGAGAGGAGAAGGAGGUUGUGCCAGCCCCAGUCUGGGGUGCUCGUGACAAGUGAGAACAACCUGAAGGCAAAUUACAGGUUCUUUCCAGGUUACUUAAAGCCAGGCUUUCAGGAUUGCAUGCCAUCCUGAAGUUGUUGCUUCUUGUCAGAGGAUCACGGCUUUAUCUCUUCUGCUGAAAGACAGACUUAAGCAUCUCAUCUAACCGUGCUCAUCUUGUGUGGUGGCCCCGGCGCAGGGGGCGGAGGUCAUCACCUACUAGGGUAGAGAUGAGCACGCAAGCAUCUAGAAAUGACUCUGUCAUCACACACCUGUCAAGAUUAAGACACAACCUCCCGCACGUGGGUCUUUCCCCCUGUCCUGAAUCUCCCUGCCUUCACUGCCGUUGAAGGAACACUGACCAGCUACUGGGGGUCAUUUUUUUUUUUUUAGAAAAAGACUCAUUUCAGAUGUUUCCUUCAUUUUUAUAUCCCACAUGUGGUCAUUGGUUCCAGAAGAAGUCCCACUGUGGUGCCAAAAGCAGCAGUUUCCUCUUUUUCCCUCUUUUCUUCUCUUCUCAUCCACGUCGAAUCCCAAAUCCCCAGAGCCUGAAGUGGUCUAGAGCAUCGCUCUUAUCUAGAUCUACCCCUGACUAGUGCAGGAAUCCCGUUUCCAGCAUCGGAUGCGGGAUGGGCAGGCCCUGGGGGAGGCAGCCUUUCUGGCAGCUUGAGAGAGACCUGGGAGAGAAGGUUGGAUGAUGUUCAGCCUUAGAGGGGACAGCAGGAUUCUAAGGAGUACUUCAUGGGCAGCCAAGUGUCCACAUGUGUCAAUUUCUCCAUCCGAUAGUGAGCCAAAGGCUUCUCAUUUCUGGGUCCAGCUGUGUGUCUUACACUGAUUAAAAAAAAAGCAUAGAGUGGGGAGACAGGGAGACCUGAGUUUUUGUCCCAGGAUGUCCCGCUUCCUAGUUCCUUCCACGUAAAAUGAGGGAGUCACGUCACUCAUCCCCCAAAACCUCUUCUAGCCCUGCUAUCCACAGUGUCGUCAUAUGGAGAGACAUAGUUCAUGACUUAAAAGAUCGGCUAUUUUUUUUUUUUUCUCUCUGGCUGUAGUCCUAGCCGUAAUUUCUUUUUCCCUUAAGUUUUUAAAAAGUACCCAGCAGUCGUUUGUCUAUGUGUUGAUUUAUCAACAUCUUUGUUCCCCGACUAGUGAUUGAACUCAUGCCUCUUGCAAUGGAAGCAAAGAGUUUUAACCACUGGACCUCCAGGGCAGUCCCCGGGUUAAUUUCAGCUUGCUCCAAGAUCAUGUAUAAGUCACUCAAGCCUUUUUCUCCAGGUUUCAGUUUUCCCAUCAAUAAAAUGGGAGAGGUAGGGGGUGGUCUUAAUGGUCCUCCAAGUUCUCCUCCCGUGUGUCAAGUUCUAAGCCUUGUCUGACGCACCCCAUGGCUGACGGGUAAUUCUUGCUUUGCCUUCCGCCACACCAGCCAAAGACAGGGCAGUCUUAGGAAGUCCAUUACCAACGACUCCUUCAAAGCUGUUUGCACUUGUUGUCAGCUGCACCGAGCAAGAGUUUGUCGAAGGAGAAGGCAAAUAGACAUUCAGACUGAUGACAGGCCAGGGGGAGGGGGACCGCUGUUUGCCUGGGAUGACCGGGAGGGAGAAAAAAAACCUGCCUGCCGUCUUGACCAAUAAAUAAAAACUGGGAGCUCUGCGUGGCUAAAACUGUAGGGGAUUUAUUAGUUUGCUCAGUGAAAGGCAAAUAUUAAGUCUUAAGUUGGCCUGUCCUGGAACUUGCCUUUUGGCGUUUGUAUGCCGUCCGGCACCAAUCACCGUGUACUCCAGGUUAUCAGAUUCUGUCGAAGGGUUUUUUAAAAAAGAUUUUUUCCGUCUCCUUCUUAUUUCCUUCCUCCUUGCCUGCCCCGCAGCUCCCCCCCCCGCCCCCCC